CCUGUGUGACUGCGUACCUUUUGUAUAAUGGGUCAGCGACUUAUAUUCUGUAGCAAGGUUAACCGAAUAGGGGAGCCGUAGGGAAACCGAGUCUUAAUCGGGCGUUAAGUUGCAGGGUAUAGACCCGAAACCCGGUGAUCUAGCCAUGGGCAGGUUGAAGGUUGGGUAACACUAACUGGAGGACCGAACCGACUAAUGUUGAAAAAUUAGCGGAUGACCUGUGGCUGGGGGUGAAAGGCCAAUCAAACCGGGAGAUAGCUGGUUCUCCCCGAAAGCUAUUUAGGUAGCGCCUCGUGAAUUCAUCUCCGGGGGUAGAGCACUGUUUCGGCUAGGGGGCCAUCCCGGCUUACCAACCCGAUGCAAACUGCGAAUACCGGAGAAUGUUAUCACGGGAGACACACGGCGGGUGCUAACGUCCGUCGUGAAGAGGGAAACAACCCAGACCGCCAGCUAAGGUCCCAAAGUCAUGGUUAAGUGGGAAACGAUGUGGGAAGGCCCAGACAGCCAGGAUGUUGGCUUAGAAGCAGCCAUCAUUUAAAGAAAGCGUAAUAGCUCACUGGUCGAGUCGGCCUGCGCGGAAGAUGUAACGGGGCUAAACCAUGCACCGAAGCUGCGGCAGCGACGCUGAUGCGUUGUUGGGUAGGGGAGCGUUCUGUAAGCCUGCGAAGGUGGCCUGUGAGGGUUGCUGGAGGUAUCAGAAGUGCGAAUGCUGACAUAAGUAACGAUAAAGCGGGUGAAAAGCCCGCUCGCCGGAAGACCAAGGGUUCCUGUCCAACGUUAAUCGGGGCAGGGUGAGUCGACCCCUAAGGCGAGGCCGAAAGGCGUAGUCGAUGGGAAACGGGUUAAUAUUCCCGUACUUGGUGUUACUGCGAAGGGGGGACGGAGAAGGCUAUGUUGGCCGGGCGACGGUU
RNAcentral lists this ribosomal RNA (911 nucleotides) under Salmonella enterica subsp. enterica serovar Bonn. RNAcentral describes it as "partial 23S ribosomal RNA". It matches the Rfam family "Bacterial large subunit ribosomal RNA", at positions 588 to 1503 of the family's 2925-position model. The record is from RNAcentral. Lineage: Bacteria; Pseudomonadati; Pseudomonadota; Gammaproteobacteria; Enterobacterales; Enterobacteriaceae.